CCACCGCACGGUCGAACGGGAUGUCGGACACGGCAACCGCGGCCGAAGCAGCGUUGACGGCAACGAUGUCGACGGGGUUCGAUUCGUCGACGGCGAGGACGGUGACAACGACGUGCACCUCGUUGCGGAACCCGUCCGGGAACGCAGGCCGCAACGGCCUGUCGAUCAGACGGGCAUUGAGGAUGGCUUUCUCGGUGGCGCGACCCUCACGACGGAAGAACCCGCCGGGGAUCUUGCCGGCCGCGUACAUCCGCUCUUCGACGUCGAUCGUCAACGGGAAGAAGUCGGCCUC
This 292-nucleotide unclassified non-coding RNA is filed under the name plant metagenome. RNAcentral describes it as "partial contains 5.8S ribosomal RNA, internal transcribed spacer 2, and large subunit ribosomal RNA". The record is from RNAcentral.